Arvicanthis niloticus (Nile rat) is the source of this 492-nucleotide non-coding RNA. Lineage: Eukaryota; Metazoa; Chordata; Mammalia; Rodentia; Muridae. The record is from the annotation of a RefSeq genome assembly.
AUGAUGAGUUCUGCUCUGUUUCUGUUUCUGCUAAUGCUCUGGAUUCAGGAAACCAGUGGUGAUGUUGUGAUGACCCAGACUCCACUAUCUUUGUCAGUUACCAUUGGACAACCAGCCUCCAUCUCUUGCAAGUCAAGUCAGAGCCUCUUACAUAGUAAUGGAAACACCUAUUUGAAUUGGUUAUUGCAGAAGCCAGGCCAGUCUCCAAAGCAACUAAUCUAUCAGGUGUCUAAAUUGGAUGCUGGGGUCCCUGACAGGUUCAGUGGCAGUGGAUCAGAGACAGAUUUUACACUUAAAAUCAGUAGAGUGGAGCCUGAGGAUCUGGGAGUUUAUUACUGCUUGCAAGGUACACAUUAUCCUAGCACAGUGAUACAGACCCUAUCAAAAACUUCCUUGCCUAGGGGCAGCUCAGCUGGUAACCUGCUGUUUGACUGGAGAGGAGCAGAGAACCCUGUGUGUGAAAGAGUGGGAGGGGUUAGGCAAAAUGAUUAA